UUUCUUUCUGAGGCUUUUGGAAACUCAUGAAGAUUAGCCUCUAUUCUCACCUUCAAUUUUCUUGGUUGUCAAAAAUUCUACUUUGUGAUUUUGUUCUCUUUUGUUUUGCUUGGUAUUUUGAUUCAUACACUUUAUUGCUUCCAAAUUAAUUUCUUUUUAUAUAACACUAUUCUCAAAAUCUUAUUUCCUUAAAAAUCCAUUUCAAAAAUUCAUUUAGAGUUCUUAGAAUCAAAAUCUCAUUUUUUUUUAAAUAAUGUGCAACCAUGUUUUGAUCGGUUCACAUCUUUCAAAUAAAAUUACAGUUUUGAAUAAAACACGAAUCAAAGCUUGUGGUCCCAAACAAAUGGGAUAAUUCUAAGCUAAAUUC
This 367-nucleotide long non-coding RNA is filed under the name Vitis vinifera (wine grape). RNAcentral's name for it is "long non-coding RNA (VVIN_LNC003219)". The record is from RNAcentral. Lineage: Eukaryota; Viridiplantae; Streptophyta; Magnoliopsida; Vitales; Vitaceae.